GGGAAGGGCAGAGAGCUAGUAGAUGGGUUUGACAAAAGGAACACACCGGCAACGAUCUGAGGAGGAACGGUAAUUUACUAAAUCCAACAAAAUCAAACACAAUGAGGGAGAAGAGUACCCGAGGGAAGCACGUGCCCUUCGCAGCGAGCUGAACCGACCGGGAAGGAGGGGAGAGACAGACGGGGUCCUAUCCGGAGCUCCACCUCACUUCUUUCGGCGCCAAGUCCUCCGGGGAUGCUGCCCCUCCCCUCCAAUGAGAAUAAUCAAAAUGCCCGUAAGAGGCAGUAAACGGAACCAGAACAUUAACUCUUUAACUUCCACUGGUUCACAUGAUGUUCUGAUGUGGAAUACUGACAACAAAAAAUCACCAAACCACAGCAUAAGAGUCCUUUGUUAUUACUUCAGAGCAUGUGCUUUUGUCUGUAGAAUUUAGUUAAUUGUAUCACUGAAAUGUUAUGUGAGAGAGAAGGUUUCUGCAAGCUGCCAACAAUAUGAGGUCAGAAUCAGGCUCGUAUUUGAGAACAUAAGAGGUUUGUGUCCCGUCCAACCUCGUGAACAAGAUUCUAGCACGUGGAGGUCCAUGCAAGCCAAAGGUCAAGUGUUUUUAGUGUGGCUGGUAUGGAUGUUGUUGAAGGUGGUG
This 640-nucleotide long non-coding RNA is filed under the name Gallus gallus (chicken). Lineage: Eukaryota; Metazoa; Chordata; Aves; Galliformes; Phasianidae. The record is from RNAcentral.